AGUGAUGGUAGAGGCGCGAAAAUUAUAAGUAGAGAAAACGGAGAGCAAUGAGGCUUUGUGAUGUUUUUUUGAAAGGGAAAUUCGCCGAAGUGUAUAAGAAGCUCAUAUUCUUUUAUGCUGGACUUAUGUUGAAGAAGCAUAAGGCUGUCACUUAACUAACCCAAGGUUAGGUGGAGAACUAUCUCACGU
Molecule: non-coding RNA, 189 nt
Filed under: Bacillus sp. (in: firmicutes)
Lineage: Bacteria; Bacillati; Bacillota; Bacilli; Caryophanales; Bacillaceae
Description: Bacillus sp. Lysine sequence
Rfam family: Lysine riboswitch aptamer
About the family: Riboswitches are metabolite binding domains within certain messenger RNAs that serve as precision sensors for their corresponding targets. Allosteric rearrangement of mRNA structure is mediated by ligand binding, and this results in modulation of gene expression. This family includes riboswitches that sense lysine in a number of genes involved in lysine metabolism, including lysC.
Source: RNAcentral